AGUGGCGGACGGGUGAGUAACACGUGGGAAUCUACCUAUCAGUAUGGGAUAACUGCGGGAAACUGCAGCUAAUACCGUAUACGCCCUUCGGGGGAAAGAUUUAUCGCUGAUAGAUGAGCCCGCGCUCGAUUAGUUUGUUGGUGAGGUAACGGCUCACCAAGACUACGAUCGAUAGCUGGUCUGAGAGGACGAUCAGCCACACUGGGACUGAGACACGGCCCAGACUCCUACGGGAGGCAGCAGUGGGGAAUAUUGGACAAUGGGGGCAACCCUGAUCCAGCCAUGCCGCGUGAGUGAAGAAGGCUUUAGGGUUGUAAAACUCUUUCACCGGGGACGAUGAUGACGGUACCCGGAGAAGAAGCCCCGGCUAACUCCGUGCCAGCAGCCGCGGUAAUACGGAGGGGGCUAGCGUUGUUCGGAAUUACUGGGCGUAAAGCGCGCGUAGGCGGUUUGCACAGUCAGGCGUGAAAUCCCGGGGCUCAACCCCGGAACUGCGUUUGAUACUGGUGAACUAGAGGACGGGAGAGGGUAGUGGAAUUCCCAGUGUAGAGGUGAAAUUCGUAGAUAUUGGGAAGAACACCGGUGGCGAAGGCGGCUACCUGGACCGUCCCUGACGCUGAGGUGCGAAAGCGUGGGGAGCAACAGGAUUAGAUACCCUGGUAGUUCACGUCGU
Molecule: ribosomal RNA, 673 nt
Filed under: uncultured bacterium
Lineage: Bacteria
Description: bacterial SSU rRNA
Rfam family: Bacterial small subunit ribosomal RNA
Source: RNAcentral